ACAUUGGUUCCUUAAAGCAAGAAAUUUCUAAGAUGGCAGCAAAUUGCCAAACUUUGGGAGGGAUUGGUUUGGAUUGUGCUGGCUGAAUGAGAAAGGGGCCCUUGUUCUUGUUAUCUUCCCUCCAGAUGCUGAACAUCCUAGGCACCAUUUUUAUCUGGAUGCUGACAAUCCAGGCAAGGUCUGUGAGAGGUUUCCUGCUGGAAGGCAUCUCCGUUCUUGCUGGGUUCCACCUAGAGGCAAUGAUCAUCAGCCUCCUUAGAAAGCCUCUGCCAAUGGACAGUGACACCUCUGAGUUCUGGAGGGCCUUGAGGGGGGAAUGAUUUCUUCACCCUCUACAUACUACAUUGGCUCAUGAGCAAGAUUCAACAUCCAGCUGGCACAGACAGGAGCUCAGCUGAGGACAUCAUGGCCCUUGGGCCUCUAGCAGCAAGUGACAGCCCAGACCCAGUUCUGUCAGUUCCCCUUGAGGGCUAGAAUCCUGGUUCUCAAGAGCUUGAGGCAACAUGUGCAUCUUUGGAGAUGCUCACCACCAUUCACUCCAGCCCAGUGCUAAGGGAGCUUCUCCCAGAGAUUCUCUGCUCUUCUGGAGCAAGUUCGCUGCACUGUAGGGCAGUACAUGCCAAUGCCCACAGGCAGCAUCCGGAGGAGGCAGCUGCAGAAGGAGCAACUGUGAGCAGUGGGCAACCCUUGCAGGCUUUCUAUGGAGACCCUGGCCUGUGCCAUAUCUAAGGGCCUUGGGGAGGGAGUGGCUUCAGCCCUCUGCCAAGAGGGAACUUGGACACUCCUUUAGAGCCCCCAGAUGUACCAUGAGAGGGUGUGCCAACUGGCCAGGUAAGAGAGGCAGGCUGGAUUACAUCUGUGCUCUAGGCAGUGGGAUGAGUGGUAGAGGGGGAACUUUCUGUGCUGAACCUGCAGGGUUGUGUGGGGCUGGAGACAUGGAGCUUGUGCUCCAAGAAAUGAGAGUUGCCGCCUCAGAGCAACUGAGUGUUGGCAGUGCCCAGCUGGUCUCAGAACUAGUGGUUUUCUCUUGCAGGGCUUUGCUCCCAUUGGGCAUUAUAAUGUCCAAAUUCUCGGGACAGGUCCUGCAGUGAGUAAGUUCCACAACUGAAAAGCUGCACGUUACUGGUACAGCGGCUGUUUGUUGUGCUUGUUCCCUGGGGAGUCCCCUGGUCUUCUUCCUAGGAGGGAGGAUCACUGGAGGCAGUUGAGAGGUUUCUCUUCUGUCCUUGUCCUUGCA
This is a long non-coding RNA of Gavialis gangeticus (Gharial), 1237 nucleotides long. RefSeq lists it as uncharacterized. The transcript is spliced from 4 exons. The record is from RefSeq and is a predicted model, not a curated record. Lineage: Eukaryota; Metazoa; Chordata; Crocodylia; Gavialidae.